AAUUACUGGCGUAAAGCGUUCGUAGGCGGUUAGUUAAGUUAGAUGUGAAAGCCCCGGGCUUAACCUGGGAACUGCAUUUAAAACUGGCUAACUAGAGUUUAGGAGAGGGAAGUGGAAUUUCAGGUGUAGCAGUGAAAUGCGUAGAGAUCUGAAGGAACACCAGUGGCGAAGGCGACUUCCUGGACUAAAACUGACGCUGAGGAACGAAAGCGUGGGUAGCAAACGGGAUUAGAUACCCCGGUAGUCCACGCCGUAAACGAUGUCAACUAGCCGUUGGGCCUAUAUACAGGUUUAGUGGCGGAGCUAACGUAUUAAGUUGACCGCCUGGGGAGUACGGCCGCAAGGUUAAAACUCAAAUGAAUUGACGGGGGCCCGCACAAGCGGUGGAGCAUGUGGUUUAUUUCGAUGCAACGCGAAGAACCUUACCUACCCUUGACAUCCAGAGAAUCUGUUAGAGAUAGUAGAGUGCCUUAGGGAACUCUGAGACAGGUGCUGCAUGGCUGUCGUCAGCUCGUGUCGUGAGAUGUUGGGUUAAGUCCCGUCACGAGCGCAACCCUUAUCCUUAGUUGCUAGCAGGUUAUGCUGAGAACUCUAAGGAGACUGCCGGUGAUAAACCGGAGGAAGGUGGGGACGACGUCAAGUCAUCAUGGCCCUUAUGGGUAGGGCUACACACGUGCUACAAUGGUCGGUACAGAGGGCCGCAAACUCGCGAGAGUAAGCUAAUCCCAGAAAGCCGAUCUUAGUCCGGAUUGGAGUCUGCGACUCGACUCCAUGAAGUUGGAAUCGCUAGUAAUCGCGAAUCAGAACGUCGCGGUGAAUACGUUCCCGGGCCUUGUACACACCGCCCGUCACACCAUGGGAGUGGGUUGCAAAAGAAGUGGGUAGUCUAACCUUCGGGAGGGCGCUCACCACUUUGUGAUUCAUGACUGGGGUGAAGUCGUAACAAGGUAACC
RNAcentral lists this ribosomal RNA (953 nucleotides) under uncultured bacterium. RNAcentral's name for it is "bacterial SSU rRNA". It matches the Rfam family "Bacterial small subunit ribosomal RNA", at positions 549 to 1501 of the family's 1533-position model. The record is from RNAcentral.